UACAGAGGGUGCGAGCGUUAAUCGGAAUUACUGGGCGUAAAGCGCGCGUAGGCGGCUUGUUAAGUCGGAUGUGAAAUCCCUGGGCUCAACCUAGGCAUUGCAUUCGAUACUGGCAAGCUAGAGUAUGGGAGAGGAAGGUAGAAUUCCAGGUGUAGCGGUGAAAUGCGUAGAGAUCUGGAGGAAUACCGAUGGCGAAGGCAGCCUUCUGGCCUAAUACUGACGCUGAGGUACGAAAGCAUGGGGAGCAAACAGG
This 253-nucleotide ribosomal RNA is filed under the name uncultured bacterium. Its description in RNAcentral is "partial 16S ribosomal RNA". It matches the Rfam family "Bacterial small subunit ribosomal RNA", at positions 524 to 776 of the family's 1533-position model. The record is from RNAcentral.